GCAUAGUCCAGUGGGGAAGGACGGGAGGGGACUGAGCCCAGGGGGAAGGGGGCGGAGCCCAGGGGGAGGGACAAGGGAGAGCCCGGACCCAAGGGUGCAGGGAAAUGCGAGGCUCCCAGAGUCAGAGAUGUCCCCACCUGCCACCCACCCUCUGGCCCAGGCUGCUGCUCAGGUCUAAGGAUGGGGGGAGGGGAGGAUCAGGUGACCUCGACCCUCUCCUGAGUGACACCGGCCCUGGGACAACAGGUGUCAUCUGAGAACGUCCCAGCCCCAGGUCCUGCCUGUGAGACCAGAGACUCGACCACUCCCUCAUAAUCCAGCCACGUUGCACACCGGUCACAGGUCCUGUCAAGUACAAAGUGCCCAGUCGGCGUGCCAAGGACACGCCACACUUGGAGGAAGCCAGCGACUCUGGGGAGGCCAGUUCUUGUACUUUUCCAAGCCAACCACCUUCCUGAAAAUACCGAGGCCUGAAACAGACGGGGCAGGAGUACAGGAGCAGGGAAUGGUGCCAGACCGAUGUCCAGGAGGGUGAGCACGGAUGACAGCUGCUCUCGGAGGAACCGCAUAAGGCUCCGCCAGCACCUACUGCCCCCAGCCCCACUGGCACCCGGCCCAACCCAGGGCCAGGAAUGGGGGCAACAGAACGCCAACCCCAAGGCCCCCGCUCUGCCUAACCACACCCAGGUCAGCGGGCAGCCGGGGCUUCUGUGUCCUGUGUCACCAGGAUCCUGGGUGCGGGAAAACCCUUGGAAGUCCAGGAGGAAGGAGCCAGACCCGGCCAUGGAGACCUGGCAGGUGGAAGCAGGGACUGUGGCCCACAGACCCCAGACCACCUCCUGUACCCCUGCGCUCACCUCAGCCCCCAGGCCACAGAGCCUGCCAGCCCCCCGCCGCCUCCCGGGACCUGAAGGAGAAACGGGCUCUGGACAGCCAGGGGAGCCCCGAAGCCCCCCGCUUGGCGACUUGCUGCCUGAGCCAUUCUGUAGUCUUGCUCACUGCCCGCACCCAGCCCCCAUGCACAACCUCCAAGACCACCCGACCUCCUGGCCUGCAGGGUUGCAGCUGCACGGGGUCGGAGGUCUUUGGUGCCCCUCUCCCGGGGUCACACGGGCCCAGGCCCACCGGGGGGCCCAGUGGAAAGGUCCCGCCUGACCUCGGCUGGUACUGGAGGCGCAGCGGAGACCGCGGAGGCGCGCGGAGGAGGUCCGGGAAGCCUGGCUCCCUCGGGGGGACGCUCGAGGCGGGGUGCCACCGCCCGGCGAUGCGCGCGGCUCCGUGCUCUGGGCACCGCUCUGGGGCCCGCAGGAAGGUGGCGGGGGAGGGGAGGGGUCGUGAUCCGGAGAGAAGCAGGUGAGGGCCCUGCGAGUGUGCACCCCGAAGCCCAGCAUCACCAGGUCCCAGCCUCGCUUCUCUACACAGCUCGUGUGGGCUUCUAGUAUUUCAGUUACUUACUCUCAUUUUGACGGAGUCCCCCGGUUAGAGUGUAAGCUCCAUCAGGUAGCGGGUAUUUCUGUUUGCUGUUGAAACUCGAACACCUGGAGGAGUGGCUGGCACCCCAUGGCUGUUUGUUUGUUCAGCCUCAGGGCCACAGGAAGACCGCCCACUGGGGUGAAGAUUUCGGCUUCCCUGGGACUCUGCCCGUGCUCACUUCAGAUCUGGGUUAUGUAUGUCACAGAUUCAUUUGCAGUGUGAUUUUUGUUGUUGUUGUUGUUUGUCUAGGCUUCAACAGUAUGUGAAUGGAGAACUUCCAGAUGUUCAAGCUGGAUUUAGAAAAGGCAGAGGAACCAGAGAUCAAAUUGCCAAUGUCCGUUGAAUCACAGUAAGAAAAUGCAAUAAAAACAUCUAUUUUUGCUUCA
RNAcentral lists this long non-coding RNA (1859 nucleotides) under Bos indicus x Bos taurus (hybrid cattle). Its description in RNAcentral is "lncRNA (ENSBIXG00005012468.1)". The record is from RNAcentral. Lineage: Eukaryota; Metazoa; Chordata; Mammalia; Artiodactyla; Bovidae.